Molecule: transfer RNA, 77 nt
Filed under: Streptomyces hygroscopicus
Lineage: Bacteria; Bacillati; Actinomycetota; Actinomycetes; Kitasatosporales; Streptomycetaceae
Also listed under: 25 other names
Description: tRNA-Met
Rfam family: tRNA
About the family: Transfer RNA (tRNA) molecules are approximately 80 nucleotides in length.
Source: RNAcentral
CGCGGGGUGGAGCAGCUCGGUAGCUCGCUGGGCUCAUAACCCAGAGGUCGCAGGUUCAAAUCCCGCCCCCGCUACCA